RNAcentral lists this ribosomal RNA (333 nucleotides) under Mantidactylus paidroa. RNAcentral's name for it is "partial 16S ribosomal RNA". It matches the Rfam family "Bacterial large subunit ribosomal RNA", at positions 2017 to 2516 of the family's 2925-position model. Lineage: Eukaryota; Metazoa; Chordata; Amphibia; Anura; Mantellidae. The record is from RNAcentral.
UGUCUCCUUUUUCUAAUCAGUGAAACUAAUCUUCCCGUGAAGAAGCGGGAAUACCCCUAUAAGACGAGAAGACCCCAUGGAGCUUCAAACCCAACUACACCCCUAACUUCUAUAACCCCCACCCCACGGGACCCUGUAUAGUUGGUUUUAGGUUGGGGCAACCACGGAGCACAACAAAGCCUCCACAAUGAAUGGGACCACCCCCCUUAUCUAAGAGCCACACCCCUAGGAAUUAAAACAUUAAUAUAAAAUGAUCCAUUAUUUGAUCAAUGAACCAAGUUACCCUGGGGAUAACAGCGCAAUCCAUUUCAAGAGCCCCUAUCGACAAAUGGG